AGUUUAGUUGUCCUGAUAUCACCCGGAUCAGGUUUUCUAGAAGUGUGUAGAGACCAUUUCAGCUGUAAGGGACUGUGCCUGUGUGAUCCCUCUCUCCCUUUUCUGCUUGAGUGAGAGCCACCAAUGAUUGUCACAAUGGCUGCAUCUGGCUCACAGAUAACAACCUUUAUGAAACCAAGAUUUUGUUUUAUUAAACAAUUUUUCUGAGGAAACUGUAUAUCUGCUUUGAAAUGCUUAGAAGCCUCAUUUCCAAGGAAGACAACCUUGUGCAGAUGGCCAAUGUCCAGAACAAUGUGGAUGGCAGAACUGACCUCAGAUAAAGGGAUCUGUGGUAACAUGCAGAAACGAUGCUGGAAGGUUGAGAUUCAUCUUAAGAUGAGAUAGAUAAGAAUUACGCAUCUACAUUAAAUCCUUAGCUCCUCCUGUCAUCAGUGGAAAGAGCUGGAGGCUCUGGAGAGUAAUUCAUCUCAGCUGUCCUUGACAUAUGU
Molecule: non-coding RNA, 488 nt
Organism: Zonotrichia albicollis (white-throated sparrow)
Lineage: Eukaryota; Metazoa; Chordata; Aves; Passeriformes; Passerellidae
Source: RefSeq, a predicted model, not a curated record